Molecule: ribosomal RNA, 253 nt
Filed under: uncultured bacterium
Lineage: Bacteria
Description: partial 16S ribosomal RNA
Rfam family: Bacterial small subunit ribosomal RNA
Source: RNAcentral
UACAGAGGUCCCAAGCGUUGUUCGGAUUCACUGGGCGUAAAGGGUGCGUAGGUGGUGAGGUAAGUCGGAGGUGAAAGCUCCGAGCUCAACUCGGAAAUGGCAUUGGAAACUACCUUGCUAGAGGGUUUGAGGGGGGACUGGAAUACUUGGUGUAGCAGUGAAAUGCGUAGAUAUCGAGAGGAACACCAGUGGCGAAGGCGGCUCGCUGGAUCUUUUCUGACGCUGAGGCGCGAAAGCUAGGGGAGCAAACGGG